AGGAACAUGUGGUUUAAUUCGAUGAUACGCGAGGAACCUUACCCGGGCUUGAAAUGCAUCUGACCGGCCUUGAAAGAGGUUUUCCCGUUCGGGGCAGAUGUGUAGGUGCUGCAUGGUUGUCGUCAGCUCGUGCCGUGAGGUGUCGGCUUAAGUGCCAUAACGAGCGCAACCCUCAUCAUUAGUUACCAUCAGGUAAGGCUGGGGACUCUAAUGAGACUGCCAUCGUAAGAUGUGAGGAAGGUGGGGAUGACGUCAAAUCAGCACGGCCCUUACGUCCGGGGCGACACACGUGUUACAAUGGGUGGUACAAAGGGCAGCUACCUGGCGACAGGAUGCUAAUCUCCAAAACCACUCUCAGUUCGGAUCGGAGUCUGCAACUCGACUCCGUGAAGCUGGAUUCGCUAGUAAUCGCGCAUCAGCCACGGCGCGGUGAAUACGUUCCCGGGCCUU
This 450-nucleotide ribosomal RNA is filed under the name uncultured Proteiniphilum sp. Its description in RNAcentral is "bacterial SSU rRNA". It matches the Rfam family "Bacterial small subunit ribosomal RNA", at positions 933 to 1382 of the family's 1533-position model. Lineage: Bacteria; Pseudomonadati; Bacteroidota; Bacteroidia; Bacteroidales; Dysgonomonadaceae. The record is from RNAcentral.